Molecule: ribosomal RNA, 85 nt
Filed under: Bison bison bison
Lineage: Eukaryota; Metazoa; Chordata; Mammalia; Artiodactyla; Bovidae
Source: RNAcentral
GUCUCAGGCCGUAUCAGCCUGAAGGCGCCCGAUCUCGUCUGAUCUCGGAAGCUAAGCAGGGUCGGGCCUGGUUAGUAUCUUGGAU